AUGGCGGACUCACCAUUGUGUGGACUGUGUGGUGCUCCAGACUCUUGGAAACACUCCCUCAUCAAGUGCACAACUUCAAGGUGCACCUGGGCAUUGGUCGAUGACGAGCUAGCCAGUCAACUAGUGAAUACUAAUGAGACAAAGGCAAAACAGUGGCUGUUUACUCUCAUUGACUCAUUAUCACAUGAUCAGUUCAUCAAGGUUGCGGUGACACUUUGGGCUAUCUGGACAUCUAGACGCAAAGGAGGGGCUGCAGGGGGGCGCACAUCCAGCCCGGUCAUACGCCAGAAGGCCCCGCCGACGGGCCAUGCGAAAAUUCAUGUCGAUGCAGGAGUCCGAGCGGGCAGGGGAGGCUCGGCAGCGGCUGUUUGUCAGGAUCACCAUGGAGCCUAUCUGGGAAGUUCCGCGCUAGUAAUAGCCGGGCUGGACGAUCCCUUAAUCUUGGAAACUAUUGCAUGUAGAGAGGCCCUUGCUCUAGCGGAAGAUCUGAACUUACAAAAUGUGCUCAUUGCGUCGGACUGCAAACAGGCUAUACUGGACAUCAACAACGCUAGCAUGGGAAAGAAUGGUUCAAUAGUGAGGGAGAUUAUUACCCGGUCAAGUGUUUUUCUUUGUAAAUUUACUUUUGAAGGUCGUGCAGCCAAUAAGGAAGCACACAGUUUAGUUAGUUUUGCUAUUGGUAGAGGGCCGGGGCGGCAUACUUGGUUAGGCCAGCCCCAUAACCCUAGUUGUAUCCCAUGUUGGAAAUAUGCUCUAGAGGCAAUAAUAAAAGUAUUAUUAUAUUUUAUUGUUCAUGAUAAUUGUCUUUUAUUCAUGCUAUAA
Molecule: ribosomal RNA, 822 nt
Filed under: Triticum aestivum (bread wheat)
Lineage: Eukaryota; Viridiplantae; Streptophyta; Magnoliopsida; Poales; Poaceae
Description: partial small subunit ribosomal RNA
Source: RNAcentral